AUGAAGCUGGAUUCGCUAGUAAUCGCGCAUCAGCCACGGCGCGGUGAAUACGUUCCCGGGCCUUGUACACACCGCCCGUCAAGCCAUGGAAGCCGGGAGUGCCUGAAGUGCGUGACCGCAAGGAGCGUCCUAAGGCAAUACCGGUGACUGGGGCUAAGUCGUAACAAGGUAGC
Molecule: ribosomal RNA, 173 nt
Filed under: uncultured bacterium
Lineage: Bacteria
Description: partial 16S ribosomal RNA
Rfam family: Bacterial small subunit ribosomal RNA
Source: RNAcentral